This 1190-nucleotide ribosomal RNA is filed under the name 'Catharanthus roseus' phytoplasma. RNAcentral describes it as "bacterial SSU rRNA". It matches the Rfam family "Bacterial small subunit ribosomal RNA", at positions 162 to 1365 of the family's 1533-position model. Lineage: Bacteria; Bacillati; Mycoplasmatota; Mollicutes; Acholeplasmatales; Acholeplasmataceae. The record is from RNAcentral.
CAAAAAAAGGCACCUUCUUGGUCAUUAAAGACCUAGCAAUAGGUAUGCUUAGGGAGGAGCUUGCGUCACAUUAGUUAGUUGGUGGGGUAAAGGCCUACCAAGACUAUGAUGUGUAGCCGGGCUGAGAGGUUGAACGGCCACAUUGGGACUGAGACACGGCCCAAACUCCUACGGGAGGCAGCAGUAGGGAAUUUUCGGCAAUGGAGGAAACUCUGACCGAGCAACGCCGCGUGAACGAUGAAGUAUUUCGGUACGUAAAGUUCUUUUAUUAGGGAAGAAUAAAUGAUGGAAAAAUCAUUCUGACGGUACCUAAUGAAUAAGCCCCGGCUAACUAUGUGCCAGCAGCCGCGGUAAUACAUAGGGGGCAAGCGUUAUCCGGAAUUAUUGGGCGUAAAGGGUGCGUAGGCGGUUAAAUAAGUUUAUGGUCUAAGUGCAAUGCUCAACAUUGUGAUGCUAUAAAAACUGUUUAGCUAGAGUAAGAUAGAGGCAAGUGGAAUUCCAUGUGUAGUGGUAAAAUGCGUAAAUAUAUGGAGGAACACCAGUAGCGAAGGCGGCUUGCUGGGUCUUUACUGACGCUGAGGCACGAAAGCGUGGGGAGCAAACAGGAUUAGAUACCCUGGUAGUCCACGCCGUAAACGAUGAGUACUAAACGUUGGGUAAAACCAGUGUUGAAGUUAACACAUUAAGUACUCCGCCUGAGUAGUACGUACGCAAGUAUGAAACUUAAAGGAAUUGACGGGACUCCGCACAAGCGGUGGAUCAUGUUGUUUAAUUUGAAGGUACCCGAAAAACCUCACCAGGUCUUGACAUGCUUCUGCAAAGCUGUAGAAACACAGUGGAGGUUAUCAGUUGCACAGGUGGUGCAUGGUUGUCGUCAGCUCGUGUCGUGAGAUGUUGGGUUAAGUCCCGCAACGAGCGCAACCCUUAUUGUUAGUUACCAGCACGUAAUGGUGGGGACUUUAGCAAGACUGCCAGUGAUAAAUUGGAGGAAGGUGGGGACGACGUCAAAUCAUCAUGCCCCUUAUGACCUGGGCUACAAACGUGAUACAAUGGCUGUUACAAAGGGUAGCUGAAGCGCAAGUUUUUGGCGAAUCUCAAAAAAACAGUCUCAGUUCGGAUUGAAGUCUGCAACUCGACUUCAUGAAGUUGGAAUCGCUAGUAAUCGCGAAUCAAGCCAGGUUCCCCGGGGA